RNAcentral lists this non-coding RNA (45 nucleotides) under Schistosoma haematobium. The record is from RNAcentral. Lineage: Eukaryota; Metazoa; Platyhelminthes; Trematoda; Strigeidida; Schistosomatidae.
AUCUAUCUGAAGAGUCCUAAAUAGGAUGAAAUGCGCGUCCUGGAU